Molecule: long non-coding RNA, 236 nt
Filed under: Salvia miltiorrhiza (redroot sage)
Lineage: Eukaryota; Viridiplantae; Streptophyta; Magnoliopsida; Lamiales; Lamiaceae
Description: long non-coding RNA (SMIL_LNC002353)
Source: RNAcentral
CACGACAAUCAUAAAAAUUAAUCGAUAUUUUUUAGUAAAAAAAUAUAAAUAUAAAACAUAAAUUAACCAAUAACCUUCCUUCUCCUUAAUUGCAUUAAAAGUUAUUAAAAAAAAAUAUGUAAAUAAAAAAUACAAAAAAUUAUUUUUAGCAAAAAAGUAGAAAAUAAAUAAAACAAUUAUUGGAAUAGAAAUCAAAGAAAAAAUAAUGUAUGGUCAAUUUUAAGAAUAUAGGAGAG